RNAcentral lists this ribosomal RNA (406 nucleotides) under uncultured bacterium. Its description in RNAcentral is "partial 16S ribosomal RNA". It matches the Rfam family "Bacterial small subunit ribosomal RNA", at positions 28 to 526 of the family's 1533-position model. The record is from RNAcentral.
GACGAACGCUGGCGGCGUGCCUAAUACAUGCAAGUAGAACGCAGUUGCGAACGGGUGAGUAACGCGUAGGUAACUGCCUGGUAGCGGGGGAUAACUAUUGGAAACGAUAGCUAAAACGCAUACUACCAGAUGGGACUGCGUUGUAUUUGCCAGUUGGGGGGGGAAAGGCUCACCAAGGCAACGAGACAAAGGCGACCCGGGAGGGUGAUCGGCCAAACCGGGACUUAGAAACGGCCCAGACUCCUACGGGAGGCAGCAGUAGGGAAUCUUCGGCAAUUGGGGGAACCCUGACCGAGCAACGCCGCGUGAGUGAAGAAGGUUUUCGGAUCGUAAAGCUCUGUUGUUAAGGAAGCGGUACUUAACCAGAAAGGGACGGCUAACUACGUGCCAGCAGCCGCGGUAAUUC